GGAUGUGAAAGAGAACUGGCUGUGACAUCUGUCACCCACUGAUGGCCAGGGUUGAUUUAGCUCAUCUCGCUGGCUACACAGGUGCUCCCUCCUGGCCACACUGCUCCAGGUGCCCCCCUCUCAAACCUGCAAACUCAGUGGAAGACAACCUCCCUGAUAGAGGAGGACCAUUUCCUCAGUCACGGGGAUACAAGUAGCCGUGCAUUCCUCCUAGAACUUCCAGACGAGCUCUCAAGGAUUCUUCCUUUUUGAAGAGAUUUCUGAGUCCUUUUGCAUAGGCACUAUGAACUAAUGGAGUUCCAAAACCACAAAUCAUUUGUUU
This is an unclassified non-coding RNA of Fukomys damarensis (Damara mole-rat), 322 nucleotides long. Its record names the gene 7SK. It matches the Rfam family "7SK RNA". Rfam says of the family: 7SK was discovered as an abundant small nuclear RNA in the mid-70s but a possible function has only recently been suggested. Two independent studies have found that 7SK RNA binds the CDK9/cyclin T complex (known as elongation factor P-TEFb). P-TEFb activates transcription by phosphorylating the C-terminal domain of RNA polymerase II. The record is from Ensembl. Lineage: Eukaryota; Metazoa; Chordata; Mammalia; Rodentia; Bathyergidae.